RNAcentral lists this unclassified non-coding RNA (328 nucleotides) under soil metagenome. Its description in RNAcentral is "partial contains 5.8S ribosomal RNA, internal transcribed spacer 2, and large subunit ribosomal RNA". The stretch from base 1 to 120 matches the Rfam family "5.8S ribosomal RNA", at positions 35 to 154 of the family's 154-position model. The record is from RNAcentral.
GAUGAAGAACGUAGCGAAAUGCGAUAAGUAAUGUGAAUUGCAGAAUUCAGUGAAUCAUCGAAUCUUUGAACGCACAUUGCGCCCCUUGGUAUUCCGGGGGGCAUGCCUGUUCGAGCGUCAUUUCAACCCUCAAGCUUAGCUUGGUAUUGAGUCUAUGUCAGUAAUGGCAGGCUCUAAAAUCAGUGGCGGCGCCGCUGGGUCCUGAACGUAGUAAUAUCUCUCGUUACAGGUUCUCGGUGUGCUUCUGCCAAAACCCAAAUUUUUCUAUGGUUGACCUCGGAUCAGGUAGGGAUACCCGCUGAACUUAAGCAUAUCAAUAAGCGGAGGA